GACGAACGCUGGCGGCGUGCUUAACACAUGCAAGUCGAGCGGGCGUAGCAAUACGUCAGCGGCGGACGGGUGAGUAACACGUGGGAAUAUGCCUUUCGGUUUGGAACAACUCGGGGAAACCCGUGCUAAUUCCGGAUACGCCCUUAGGGGGAAAGAUUUAUCGCCGAAAGAUUAGCCCGCGUCCGAUUAGCUAGUUGGUGAGGUAAACGGCCCACCAAGGCGACGAUCGGUAGCUGGUUUGAG
RNAcentral lists this ribosomal RNA (243 nucleotides) under uncultured bacterium. Its description in RNAcentral is "partial 16S ribosomal RNA". It matches the Rfam family "Bacterial small subunit ribosomal RNA", at positions 28 to 296 of the family's 1533-position model. The record is from RNAcentral.